RNAcentral lists this ribosomal RNA (924 nucleotides) under Triticum aestivum (bread wheat). Its description in RNAcentral is "partial small subunit ribosomal RNA". The record is from RNAcentral. Lineage: Eukaryota; Viridiplantae; Streptophyta; Magnoliopsida; Poales; Poaceae.
AUGACGCCGCGGUGCACGUUCUCUUGUUCCCUUGGCCGCGGCAGGGGCACAUGCUCCAUUUCGCCACCGCCCUCGUCGAUGCCGGCGUCCAAGUCACCUUCCUCCACACCGAGUGGAACCUCCGUCGUCUUGCUCAGGCGCCUCCACCGGGCCUCCGCUUGCUGUGCAUCCCCGACGGCCAACCCGACGAUGCGCCGGGCCCACCGGGCGUACCGGGCCCCGCUCUCUGCCGCCGAUGCGCCGGUGACAUGCGUUCUCGCCGAUAGCACCAUUCCGUUCGCCUUCGACAUCGCUGACGAGCUCGGCAUCCCAUCGCUCGCCUUCGUCACGCACAGCGCGUCCAGCUACCUGGCGAUCCUGUCUAUGCCCAAGCUCGUCGAGCUCGGCGAGACCGCCUUCCCUGCAGACGACCUGGUGCGUGGCGUUCCGGGGAUGGAGGACUUCCUCCGGCGACGAGAUCUUCCUCGAGGACUCUCCUGCGCUGAAAAAGGGGGCGAAGACCCCUUGGUGCUCAAGCUCGCCGAGGUUACCGUUCGUUCCAGCAAGGCACAUGCGCUCAUAGUCAACACCGCAGCGUCCAUGGAGCGGUCAGCGCUCGCCCACAUCGCGUCGUGCACAAGCGACGUCUUCGCGGUAGGCCCACUUCACGUGAGGUCGAAGUUCGCCGCAAGCGCGAGCCUGUGGCGGGAGGACGACGGGUGCAUGGCGUGGCUGGACGGCCACGACGACCGGUCCGUCGUGUACGUGAGCCUGGGGAGCCUCGCCGUGAUCACGCAUGAGCAGUUCACUGAAUUCCUCGCAGGCCUGGCAGCCACCGGGUACGCCUUCCGCUGGGUGCUCCGGCCGGACAUGGUCCAAAUGGCUGGCUCCGCGCUCCUCGGAGAAACCGUCGAGGCAGUGGGAGGCGGCAGGGGGCGCAUCUGA